RNAcentral lists this ribosomal RNA (265 nucleotides) under uncultured bacterium. RNAcentral's name for it is "partial 16S ribosomal RNA". It matches the Rfam family "Bacterial small subunit ribosomal RNA", at positions 57 to 305 of the family's 1533-position model. The record is from RNAcentral.
GCAAGUCGAGCGAGAAAGUUGUGAUUGAAUCUUCGGAUGAGAGAUCAACUGGAAAGCGGCGGACGGGUGAGUAACGCGUGGGCAACCUGCCCUGUACAGAGGGAUAGCCACUGGAAACGGUGAUUAAUACCUCAUAAGGCCAUAGUCUCGCAUGAGACAGUGGACAAAGAUUCAUCGGUACAGGAUGGGCCCGCGUCUGAUUAGCUAGUUGGUAGGGUAAAGGCCUACCAAGGCGACGAUCAGUAGCCGACCUGAGAGGGUGAUC